Molecule: ribosomal RNA, 447 nt
Filed under: uncultured bacterium
Lineage: Bacteria
Description: bacterial SSU rRNA
Rfam family: Bacterial small subunit ribosomal RNA
Source: RNAcentral
GCCAGACUCCUACGGGAGGCAGCAGUCGGGAAUAUUGCGCAAUGGAGGAAACUCUGACGCAGUGACGCCGCGUGCAGGAAGAAGGUUUUCGGAUUGUAAACUGCUUUAGACAGGGAAGAUACAAGACAGUACCUGUAAAUAAGCUCCGGCUAACUACGUGCCAGCAGCCGCGGUAAUACGUAGGGAGCAAGCGUUAUCCGGAUUUAUUGGGUGUAAAGGGUGCGUAGACGGGAAGGCAAGUUGGUUGUGAAAUCCCUCGGCUUAACUGAGGAACUGCAACCAAAACUAUCUUUCUUGAGUGCUGGAGAGGAAAGUGGAAUUCCUAGUGUAGCGGUGAAAUGCGUAGAUAUUAGGAGGAACACCAGUGGCGAAGGCGGGUUCCUGGACAUUAACUGACGCUGAGGCACGAAGGCCAGGGGAGCGAAAGGGAUUAGAUACCCCUGUAGA